AGACCCGAAACCCGGUGAUCUAGCCAUGGGCAGGUUGAAGGUUGGGUAACACUAACUGGAGGACCGAACCGACUAAUGUUGAAAAAUUAGCGGAUGACCUGUGGCUGGGGGUGAAAGGCCAAUCAAACCGGGAGAUAGCUGGUUCUCCCCGAAAGCUAUUUAGGUAGCGCCUCGUGAAUUCAUCUCCGGGGGUAGAGCACUGUUUCGGCUAGGGGGCCAUCCCGGCUUACCAACCCGAUGCAAACUGCGAAUACCGGAGAAUGUUAUCACGGGAGACACACGGCGGGUGCUAACGUCCGUCGUGAAGAGGGAAACAACCCAGACCGCCAGCUAAGGUCCCAAAGUCAUGGUUAAGUGGGAAACGAUGUGGGAAGGCCCAGACAGCCAGGAUGUUGGCUUAGAAGCAGCCAUCAUUUAAAGAAAGCGUAAUAGCUCACUGGUCGAGUCGGCCUGCGCGGAAGAUGUAACGGGGCUAAACCAUGCACCGAAGCUGCGGCAGCGAACGUAUCACCCAAGACAACUUUACGGAGUUGACGAUUGACGGAGCGAAGCGACGUCAAAGCGUUCAUUAAAGUCGAGUUGGCUUAGGGAUACGUUCGUUGGGUAGGGGAGCGUUCUGUAAGCCUGUGAAGGUGUGUCGUGAGGCAUGCUGGAGGUAUCAGAAGUGCGAAUGCUGACAUAAGUAACGAUAAAGCGGGUGAAAAGCCCGCUCGCCGGAAGACCAAGGGUUCCUGUCCAACGUUAAUCGGGGCAGGGUGAGUCGACCCCUAAGGCGAGGCCGAAAGGCGUAGUCGAUGGGAAACGGGUUAAUAUUCCCGUACUUGGUGUUACUGCGAAGGGGGGACGGAGAAGGCUAUGUUGGCCGGGCGACGGUUGUCCCGGUUUAAGCGUGUAGGUGUGUGUUCCAGGUAAAUCCGGUUCACUUUAACACUGAGGCGUGACGACGAGGCACUACGGUGCUGAAGCAACAAAUGCCCUGCUUCCAGGAAAAGCCUCUAAGCAUCAGGUAACAUCAAAUCGUACCCCAAACCGACACAGGUGGUCAGGUAGAGAAUACCAAGGCGCUUGAGAGAACUCGGGUGAAGGAACUAGGCAAAAUGGUGCCGUAACUUCGGGAGAAGGCACGCUGACACGUAGGUGAAGUGAUUUACUCAUGGAGCUGAAGUCAGUCGAAGAUACCAGCUGGCUGCAACUGUUUAUUAAAAACACAGCACUGUGCAAACACGAAAGUGGACGUAUACGGUGUGACGCCUGCCCGGUGCCGGAAGGUUAAUUGAUGGGGUCAGCGCAAGCGAAGCUCCUGAUCGAAGCCCCGGUAAACGGCGGCCGUAACUAUAACGGUCCUAAGGUAGCGAAAUUCCUUGUCGGGUAAGUUCCGACCUGCACGAAUGGCGUAAUGAUGGCCAGGCUGUCUCCACCCGAGACUCAGUGAAAUUGAACUCGCUGUGAAGAUGCAGUGUACCCGCGGCAAGACGGAAAGACCCCGUGAACCUUUACUAUAGCUUGACACUGAACAUUGAGCCUUGAUGUGUAGGAUAGGUGGGAGGCUUUGAAGUGUGGACGCCAGUCUGCAUGGAGCCGACCUUGAAAUACCACCCUUUAAUGUUUGAUGUUCUAACGUGGACCCGUAAUCCGGGUUGCGGACAGUGUCUGGUGGGUAGUUUGACUGGGGCGGUCUCCUCCUAAAGAGUAACGGAGGAGCACGAAGGUUGGCUAAUCCUGGUCGGACAUCAGGAGGUUAGUGCAAUGGCAUAAGCCAGCUUGACUGCGAGCGUGACGGCGCGAGCAGGUGCGAAAGCAGGUCAUAGUGAUCCGGUGGUUCUGAAUGGAAGGGCCAUCGCUCAACGGAUAAAAGGUACUCCGGGGAUAACAGGCUGAUACCGCCCAAGAGUUCAUAUCGACGGCGGUGUUUGGCACCUCGAUGUCGGCUCAUCACAUCCUGGGGCUGAAGUAGGUCCCAAGGGUAUGGCUGUUCGCCAUUUAAAGUGGUACGCGAGCUGGGUUUAGAACGUCGUGAGACAGUUCGGUCCCUAUCUGCCGUGGGCGCUGGAGAACUGAGGGGGGCUGCUCCUAGUACGAGAGGACCGGAGUGGACGCAUCACUGGUGUUCGGGUUGUCAUGCCAAUGGCACUGCCCGGUAGCUAAAUGCGGAAGAGAUAAGUGCUGAAAGCAUCUAAGCACGAAACUUGCCCCGAGAUGAGUUCUCCCUGAGACUUAGAGUCUCCUGAAGGAAC
This 2234-nucleotide ribosomal RNA is filed under the name Salmonella enterica. Its description in RNAcentral is "partial 23S ribosomal RNA". It matches the Rfam family "Bacterial large subunit ribosomal RNA", at positions 711 to 2836 of the family's 2925-position model. The record is from RNAcentral. Lineage: Bacteria; Pseudomonadati; Pseudomonadota; Gammaproteobacteria; Enterobacterales; Enterobacteriaceae.